UAUCAAUAAGCGGAGGAAAAGAAACCAACAGGGAUUGCCCUAGUAACGGCGAGUGAAGCGGCAACAGCUCAAAUUUGAAAUCUGGCUCUCUUUGGGGGUCCGAGUUGUAAUUUGCAGAGGAUGCUUUGGCAUUGGCGGCGGUCUAAGUUCCUUGGAACAGGACAUCACAGAGGGUGAGAAUCCCGUACGUGGUCGCCUGCCCUUGCCGUGUAAAGCUCCUUCGACGAGUCGAGUUGUUUGGGAAUGCAGCUCUAAAUGGGAGGUAAAUUUCUUCUAAAGCUAAAUACUGGCCAGAGACCGAUAGCGCACAAGUAGAGUGAUCGAAAGAUGAAAAGUACUUUGGAAAGAGAGUCAAAAAGCACGUGAAAUUGUUGAAAGGGAAGCGCUUGCAGCCAGACUUGCCCGCAGUUGCUCACCUAGGCUUUGGCCUGGGGCACUCUUCUGCGGGCAGGCCAGCAUCAGUUUGGGCGGUUGGAUAAAGGCCUCUGUCACGUAUCUUCCUUCGGGAUGACCUUAUAGGGGAGGCGUAAUGCAACCAGCCCGGACUGAGGUCCGCGCAUCUGCUAGGAUGCUGGCGUAAUGGCUGUAAGCGGCCCGUCUUGAAACACGGACCAAGGAGUCUAACAUCUAUGCGAGUGUUUGGGUGUCAAGCCCGAGCGCGUAAUGAAAGUGAACGGAGGUGGGAACCCUUUGGGUGCACCAUCGACCGAUCCUGAUGUCUUCGGAUGGAUUUGAGUAAGAGCAUAGCUGUUGGGACCCGAAAGAUGGUGAACUAUGCUUGAAUAGGGUGAAGCCAGAGGAAACUCUGGUGGAGGCUCGCAGCGGUUCUGACGUGCAAAUCGAUCGUCAAAUUUGGGCAUAGGGGCGAAAGACUAAUCGAACCAUCUAGUAGCUGGUUCCUGC
This 903-nucleotide ribosomal RNA is filed under the name Paraphaeosphaeria kovalevskayae. Its description in RNAcentral is "partial large subunit ribosomal RNA". It matches the Rfam family "Eukaryotic large subunit ribosomal RNA", at positions 41 to 961 of the family's 3401-position model. The record is from RNAcentral. Lineage: Eukaryota; Fungi; Ascomycota; Dothideomycetes; Pleosporales; Didymosphaeriaceae.